RNAcentral lists this unclassified non-coding RNA (543 nucleotides) under Pseudosubramaniomyces sp. DT2019. Its description in RNAcentral is "sequence contains 18S rRNA gene, ITS1, 5.8S rRNA gene, ITS2". The stretch from base 168 to 321 matches the Rfam family "5.8S ribosomal RNA". Lineage: Eukaryota; Fungi; Ascomycota; Sordariomycetes; Xylariales. The record is from RNAcentral.
UAUAGAGUUUUCAAACUCCCAAACCCAUGUGAACUUACCUAUGUUGCCUCGGUGGGAGCCUACCCUGUACCUACCCUGUAACGGGUUACCCGGGAGCGGCCCCACCGGUGGACUUUUUAACUCUUGUUAUUUUAUGUAAUCUGAGAGUCUUAUUUUAAAUAAGUCAAAACUUUCAACAACGGAUCUCUUGGUUCUGGCAUCGAUGAAGAACGCAGCGAAAUGCGAUAAGUAAUGUGAAUUGCAGAAUUCAGUGAAUCAUCGAAUCUUUGAACGCACAUUGCGCCCAUUAGUAUUCUAGUGGGCAUGCCUGUUCGAGCGUCAUUUCAACCCUUAAGCCUAGCUUAGUGUUGGGAGUCUACAUGAAGGCCUUGGCCCUACUGUAGUUCCUGAAAAUCAACGGCGGAUCUAUAAUAUCCUCUGAGCGUAGUAAUUCUUUAUCUCGCUUUUGUUAGGUGUUAUAGCCCUUGCCGCUAAACCCCCCAAUUUUUAAUGGUUGACCUCGGAUCAGGUAGGAAUACCCGCUGAACUUAAGCAUAUCAAUAA